Molecule: long non-coding RNA, 754 nt
Filed under: Equus asinus (donkey)
Lineage: Eukaryota; Metazoa; Chordata; Mammalia; Perissodactyla; Equidae
Description: lncRNA (ENSEASG00005033180.1)
Source: RNAcentral
AGGUGCCGUCCGUGUUCAGAGAGGCAAGAGAAAAAAAGCAAACAAGCGAGUCUGAGUCUGAGAAGCUGCUUUGCCUGGCGAUGCCCUGUUCUGCCUCACUGGCCUUCCUCGGCUAUGAAUGAUCCAACGUGGGAAGACAGAUCACAUGGUGUUCUCCUGCUGAUUGUUCAUUGGGAAGCCUCACGAACUAACUUGACCUGAAGGGUUCUGUGGAGAAACUUACGAGGGGUCUGUGAGAAGCAUUGUGAGUUUGGAGAAGAAUCUUGCUCCAGAAGAAUGUUUUCACCCUUGGAUGUUUUUCUAGCAAAAUCUGAGAGCAGAAUGAAGAACUUGGACUGAUUAUUGAUGUAACACACACUCGCCACUAAUACAAACCAGAGGCCUACCUCGGAGAUCUUGCGGGUUCUGUUCCAGGUCACUGAAUAAAGUGAAUAUCGCAAUAUAAACAUUCCCUUUUAUGCCCCCCCUCCCCUGGCUCACCCCCUCCAGGUGCCCUACAAGCCUCCCAAGAUGCGACUCUGGACCCUUGGGCACAUACGUCCUGCCCUCGUGGAGCAGCGACCCAGUGCUCACGUGCUCCCACCGCUCUCCUGCCCUGUGAUCGACGCUUCCAGUGGAUUUUUCUUGUGUGCUUUUGGAUGGAUGGCGAUGUUUAGAGAGGGCAGAAACAGACCAGGUGGAUUGCGGGAGGCCCUGGCAGGCGCCUCAAGUUAAUGUUUAUGAAGAGAUGUUUUUCCAAAGAAAAAUAUUACAG